Thamnophis sirtalis is the source of this 479-nucleotide non-coding RNA. Lineage: Eukaryota; Metazoa; Chordata; Lepidosauria; Squamata; Natricidae. The record is from the annotation of a RefSeq genome assembly.
CCACCAACAUAACCCUUGGGCUAUUUCCAGAAUCCUCUCCUAUCAAUUUCAUCCAUUCAUUACAGGAAGCAAAAAUGUGGCUAAACCUUCUGUCCAUACUUGUAGUCCUCAAAGGAGUCCAGUCUCAAGUGCAGUUGGUGGAGUCUGGAGGAGAUGUGAGAAGACCUGGGGAGUCCCUCCAUCUCUCCUGCCACGCCUCUGGAUUCACCUUCAGCAGCUAUAACAUGCACUGGGCGAGACAGCCUCCUGGGAAAGGACUGGAAUGGGUGUCAUGGAUAACCUAUCAUUCUGGCACAAUUACUUACUCUGACAAAAUGAAGGGACGCUUCACAGUCUCCAGGGACAAUUUCGAAAGCCAGCUGUAUCUGCAAAUGAACAGCCUCAAAACCGAAGACACAGGAGUCUAUUACUGUGCAAGAGGCACAGUGAGAGGAAGUGAAUCUGAAGCCAAACAAAAACCUUCUUUCAUUCACUCUUGA